Cajanus cajan (pigeon pea) is the source of this 336-nucleotide non-coding RNA. Lineage: Eukaryota; Viridiplantae; Streptophyta; Magnoliopsida; Fabales; Fabaceae. The record is from RefSeq and is a predicted model, not a curated record.
GUUUUAUCCAAGCAAAGUAGCAUCUAAAGCAAUCACAUUGACUAUCAAGCAACAAUUUGUUGAGCCAUGGAUGACUUGGGGUGCAAUGACGGAAACAAAAAGAUAUCUUCUUUCAGCGUUUUAAGAAAAAAGUUUCAUGGAGAUCUGAACAUGAAGAGAAGAUAAAAAAGAUAUUUCACACAAAAGCAUCUCAUAGGCUUUCUGAAAUGUUCAAGGACGCUCGUAAAAUAAAUAAGAAGCCUGAUUGGAUGUUUGAUACAGUUUGGCAAAGUUUGAUUGCCCAGUGGAUGGCCCCAUAAUUUAAAACAAAGAGUAUCCAAGCUCAAAAAAAUAGAG